AGAAGAUCCAGUUCAAUUGCUGCAGAACAUUAAGAUGGCAUCGAAUUUCUUUGUUGAUUCUUCUACAGAAAGCCUUAAAAUAUCAGCCAAAGGUAUGUGUUUAUCCACGGUGGCAAGAAGAGCAGUAUGGUUGAGAAGCUGGUCGGUGGAUUCCGCUUCCAAAUAUUCCCUAUGUGAUAAUCCGUUUGAACUAGGUAGACUUUUUGGUUCCAAACUAGAUGAGCUCUUGAAGCAAAUGACGGAUGGCAAAAAAGCUGUGCCAGCAGAA
Molecule: non-coding RNA, 268 nt
Organism: Pelobates cultripes (western spadefoot toad)
Lineage: Eukaryota; Metazoa; Chordata; Amphibia; Anura; Pelobatidae
Source: the annotation of a GenBank genome assembly